AGAGAGAGAGAGAGAGAGCAUAAAUCAUUACAAUUUUAGUUCAUACAAUAGACAAACUCAUAGGACAGUUCCCCAUUUAUUUAGCGAACCUCAGGGCUUGUUAAUUUUUAUACUAUGCAGACAUCCUAAGACCUUCCUAGGAAGCUAAGAUAUGAAUCUUGAGUGAUGUGAUACUAUGGUCUUUGCCAAACCUCUUGGCAUUGAGGUCUAUUAAAGUUUAACCAUGCAAUGCAAUUGAAAGUAAACAUCUUAUUAUACUAUGAAGCCUUGUUGUGAUCAAGUCUAGUGGUACAUCAUUUGAAGGGUUUUUUGUCCCUCCUACACCGUGAUAACUACCACAAGCUAGUGGCUUAGUGCACUCUCCAAUGAAACAUGCAUAGCCAUUAUACCAACAACCUCAUAUAGUCUGCUGUUCAACAAACUCCAUCAUCUCAUAACAAUUCCUAAUUAUGGUUGGAACAUUACUUGACAUCAGAUUUUGCAACCUUAAACCCAUUGGAAAAAAUGAAUGGGAACCUAAAUCACCAAGCUACAAUAGCCAAUGCGUUUUAUCUUGGUUCUAACCCUAGUUCUGUGUCCGUCUAGCAGCUGCAGACUAAUCUAUGAAGCCAGCUACUGAUCCUUGGUACAAUGAAUCCAAACUAUCCUUGGCAAUUUGUGCAGGACAAGAAAAUUAUCUGUUGAUAUUCUUUUUUUCUCCCAAAUUUCUUCCCUAACUGAUGUAGUUUCAUAACCAUACAAAUUUAACCACAUUUUUCAUAUAAAGAAAUGAUAAACCAUAAUUGAGUAGACAAAUUCUGCUAUCUAAAGGACAAUACUAAGAAGCCAAAUAUUUCUUUACCUUCCAUGUUAUAACCUAUUAUUCCAUUUUGUUUAACAAACUUAAUACGAUCAUGUUUUAAACAGUGACCAAGACUGACAUUUUAUAGAACAAGUUGAAAAUUGAGGAAGACCACUGGAUGCAUAAGAACACAAAUCCUUUUGCUUAUCCCAGAAUCCAGAUGAAUUUUAUUAAGGGUGAAAUGAUUAAGGCAUUGAAAAUUAUCAGGGUUUUGUCAUAAAUCUAAAUUGCAAUAAGCAUCUUCAAUAGAUGUAUCACUCGAUUGGAUGCAUUUGUCUAGAAGAAGAGGUGUCCAGAUACGACAGCAGCAGAAUGUCACUUUCUCAUCAACUAUCUGUCUUAUCAUUUCAAGUGCAUGUCUCAUUUUUUAUGAUAACAUUUAUUAUUGCAUCACUGAUUUAAGGAUUUUUGUUUUUUUGGUCCUGAUACAUGGUCAAUUGAUGAAGAAUGAGUUCAAUUGGAAGGUUAAAAUCUAUUCUUAGAAAUACCUCCAAAACAAACCUGCUUUCUUCCUCUCACUCCAAGAUGUGGAGUUGCCAGG
This 1382-nucleotide unclassified non-coding RNA is filed under the name Hevea brasiliensis (rubber tree). The record is from RNAcentral. Lineage: Eukaryota; Viridiplantae; Streptophyta; Magnoliopsida; Malpighiales; Euphorbiaceae.